UUCCGUUAAUUCCUUUAAGUUUCAGCCUUGCGACCAUACUCCCCCCGGAACCCAAAGACUUUGAUUUCUCAUAAGGUGCCAGCGGGGUCCUGUCAGGGACCAUAAUUAGGGGUACCCUCAAGACGCCUAAUUCUCAGCUGGUAACCCCCAUCAGCAUAAAGCUGCAAAGGCCUGAUGGGUUUGAUUAAGUCAGGGAUCAGUCCAUACGAGCGACUUGUUCACGCCACGCCCGAGCCUAGCCUCGGGCGAGGGCAGCCGACCCUAAGAUGACUCCGUCUCGCCCGAGGUCUCCUCUUUCACGGCAGACGCAUCACCGGCUCGCCCGAGGCCCCGCCUUCGAUAAGAAGUAACCCUGACUAAAUCACCGCGCCAACCGCCCAAAUCCCUGGGGCCUUCAACGCAAAAGGUAAGACUGACGGGUAGCCAGGCUUGGCCAAAAGCGCCAGAGGAAACUCCGCCUCGCCCGACCCAGGGCUCGGACUCGGGCUAAGGCCCCGGAAGACGGCGAACUCCGCUCCGCCCGACCCAGGGCUCGGACUCGGGCUAAGGCCCCGGAAGACGGCGAACUCCGCUCCGCCCGACCCAGGGCUCGGACUCGGGCUAAGGCCCUGGAAGACGGCGAACUCCGCUCCGCCCGACCCAGGGCUCGGACUCGGGCUAAGGCCCCGGAAGACGGCGAACUCCGCUCCGCCCGACCCAGGGCCCGGACUCGGGCUAAGGCCCCGGAAGACGAUGACCUCCGCCUCGCCCGACCAGGGGCUCGGACUCCGCCUCGGCCUCUGCCGACCGAUCUCCGCCUCGCCCGACCCAGGGCUCGGACUCUGCCUCUGUCUUGCAGGACGGACUCGACCUCAGGCUUCGGAGGAGCCUCCACGACGCCCGACCUAGGACACGAGGCCGCCACGUCAACAGGAAGCGUCAUCAUCACCCUGCCCUGAGCCGACUUGGGUCGCAGGGGACAAGACCGGCGUCCCAUCUGGCCAGCUCCGCCAGAUAGGCAAUGAUGGCGUCUCACUAGGCCAUGACGACGGCAGCUCCCAGCUCCCUUACGAAAGCAGGGAGACGUCAGCAAGAGCACAGCUGUUCCAACAGCUGUCCCUCCGUCAAGCUCCAUGGCUUCUCCAACAGCCACGACGCCACAUCAACAGGGUGCCAAGAUCUCUCCGGCUGCCACCUUGGCAUGUACUUAGGGCCCUAGCUCUCCCUUGCUGGACACGUAGCGCCUUGCUACACCCCCAUUUUGUACACCUGGCUCCUCUCCUUACGCUUAUAAAAGGGAGGACCAGGGCCUUCUUAGAGAAGGUUGGCCUCGCGGGAACGAGGGCAGGGGCAGGCGCUCUCUUGAGGCCGCUCGCUCCCCUCACCCGUGCGGACGCUUGUAACCCCCUACUGCAAGCGCACCCGACCUGGGCGCGGGACGAACACGAAGGCCGUGGGAACCUCCGACUCUCACACUCUCCCUCUCUCGACCCGGCUCCGGCCACCGACCUCGCUCUCUCUCACUCCCCCCUUCGCGCUCGCCCACGCGCUCGACCCGUCUGGGCUGGGGCACGCGGCACACUCACUCGUCGGCUCGGGGACCCCCCGGUCUCGAAACGCCGACAGUUGGCGCGCCAGGUAGGGGCCCGCUGCGUGUUGACGAGCGAUUUCCCAUCAAGCUCCAGAUGGGCAGUCUCCAACGAUCUCUUCAACCCGGGACGGUGCUCCGUUUCGGGAGCCUCGAGUUCAUGUCGCUCGACAGCGGCUCCGACAUGGUACUCCUUCCACCGUCGCGCGACGACAAUGGUGGCGGACAGCCCACCCGCCGGCGGCGGAACCGACGACGUCUUUCCCGCGUGGGGGAAGGAAAACUUUCGAGCUCGCCCCAUCCUCUCCCUCGCCAUCGGAGGAGGAGGAAGCGGGGCAACCAAGGCCGAGCGGGAGGCUGCGCUCCGACGGCUGUCGAGCAAACCGACAUCCCCGGCGCCCCGACGGAGGACGCGCCAAGCGUCGCCCUCGCGUUCGAGGCGAAGGCGAGCAGCAUCCCCCCGCAACACGUCGACCCCGAGCAGAUGGACGACGCCAGCACGCUCACGGAGGGCCUGCAAGACGUCGCCCUCGUACCGAAGACGACGACGCGAUCAACCCCCGACGUGGCUUCGUCGCUCCUCGUCGACAAAAAGGUACCGACUGCUCCCCAUCUUUCGUCAUUUCGACUCGACCUCAACACGCCUGGCGAUCUCGCUUUGACGGGCACUCAUGUUGAGGCGAGUGCAACCUCUCUGGGGUUUCGUGUGCGGUCGCCUUGGGACCGAUUGACGGGUGUCUCGACCUACGGACCCUCUGGGUCCGAGGAAGAUGACGACCCCAGCAUCUGCUGGGAUUUCUCCGGAUCUGGCAACCCUAGUGCCAUGCGGGACUUCAUGACCGCAUGUGACUACUGCCUCUCCGACUGUUCUGACGGCAGCCGCAGCCUUGGCGACAAGGACUGCGGCCCGAGCCGCGAAUGUUUCCACAUCGAGCUAGGGGAUCCCUCCGGAGGCGGCUGUCUCGGCACGCCGGAGGAUGGUGAUCUCCCUAGGCCGGCGCCUCGCGCCGACAUCCUGCGGGAGCUAGCUGUGGUCCCCGUUCCGGCGGGGGGUCACGACCCACAGCUCGAGCAAGUCCGCGGGGCGCAGGCCGGGCUCGAUGAGGGAGCGGGAGCGCUCGAGGCAAUCCGACAGAACAUCGGACAGGUAUGGGCGGGCCAGCCCCCGGCCGGAGAAAUACGUCACUUGCCCCAGGGUCUCCAACACCGCACCACCAACGAUGCCAGGGCCAGACUGCCUCCCGCGUCCGGCGGAACCGGUCAGGACCUGGCAGCGGCAGCGAUGCUCCUCCGCGCGAUGCCGGAGUCAUCAACCACCGAGGGUCGGCGAAUCCAGGGAGAACUCAAGCAUCUCCUGGAGGGCGCUGCGGCCCGAAAGCUCUGCCUCUCGAAGGCAGGGGUACCCCUCGGAACUUCGUGCCGCGACUUCCCGACCCGUGCGGGAAGCCUCGGUCUACACCGGGCGCACGCGCAACACCGCGCCUGCGGCCCCGGGCCACCUCGGCGACGAGCACCCUCACCGCGACUGCAGGGCUCGCCUCGACGAAAGGGUGCGCCGAGGCUAUCACCCCAGGCGUGGGGGACGCUAUGACAGUGGGGAGGAUCGGAGUCCCUCGCCCGAACCACCCGGUCCGCAGGUCUUCAGCCGAGCCAUUCGGCGGGCGCCGUUCCCGACCCGAUUCCGACCCCCGACUACUAUCACGAAGUACUCGGGGGAAACGAGGCCGGAAUUGUGGCUCGCGGACUACCGCCUGGCCUGUCAACUGGGUGGAACGGACGACGACAACCUCAUCAUCCGCAACCUCCCCCUAUUCCUCUCCGACACCGCUCGUGCUUGGUUGGAGCACCUGCCUCCGGGGCAGAUUUCCAACUGGGAAGAUCUGGUUCAGGCUUUCGCCGGCAACUUCCAGGGCACGUACGUGCGCCCCGGGAAUUCCUGGGACCUCCGAAGCUGUCGGCAGCUGCUGGGAGAGUCUCUCCGGGACUACAUCCGGCGGUUCUCGAAGCAGCGCACCGAGCUGCCCAACGUCACCGACUCCGAUGUCAUUGGCGCGUUCCUCGCCGGCACCACCUGCCGCGACCUGGUCAGCAAGUUGGGUCGCAAGACCCCCACCAGGGCGAGCGAGCUGAUGGACAUCGCCACCAAGUUUGCCUCCGGCCAGGAGGCGGUCGAAGCCAUCUUCCGAAAGGAUAAGCAGCCCCAGGGCCGCCCGUCGGAAGAUGCUCCCGAGGCGUCUGCUCCGCGCGGCGACAAGAAGAAAGGCAGGAGGAAGUCGCAAGCGAAACGCGACGUUCCCGAUGCAGACCUUGUCGCCGCCACCGAGCACAAGAACCCUCGGAAGCCCCCUGGAGGUGCUAACCUCUUCGACAAGGCACUCAAGGAGACGUGCCCCUACCAUCAGGGGCCCGUCAAGCACACCCUCGAGGAGUGCGUCAUGCUUCGGCGCCACUUCCAUCGGGCCGGGCCACCCGCCGAGGGUGGCAAGGCCCGCGAUGACGACAAAAGGGAGGACCGCCAAGCAGGAGAGUUCCCAGAGGUCCGCGACUGCUUCAUGAUCUACGGAGGGCAUGUGGCGAAUGCCUCGGCUCGGCAUCGUAAGCAAGAGCGUCGGGAGGUCUGCUCGGUGAAGGUGGCGGCGCCAGUCUACCUAGACUGGUCCGACAAGCCCAUCACCUUCGACCAGGACGACCACCCCGACCACGUGCCGAGCCCGGGGAAGUACCCACUCGUCGUCGACCCCGUCAUCGGCGACGUCAGGCUCACCAAGGUCCUAAUGGAUGGGGGCAGCUGCCUCAACAUCAUCUACGCCGAGACCCUCAGGCUCCUGCGCGUCGAUCUGUCAUCCGUCCGAGCGGGUGCUGCGCCCUUCCACGGUAUCGUCCCCGGGAAGUGCGUCCAGCCCCUCGGGCAGAUCGACCUUCCUGUCUGCUUCGGAACGCCCUCCAACUUCCAAAGGGAGACUUUGACGUUCGAGGUGGUCGGGUUCCGAGGAACCUACCACGCAGUGUUGGGAAGGCCAUGCUACGUGAAGUUCAUGGCCAUCCCCAACUACACCUACCUAAAGCUCAAGAUGCCGGGCCCCAACGGGGUCAUCACCGUCGGCCCCACGUACAAACACGCAUUCGAAUGUGAUGUGGAGUGCGUGGAGUACGCCGAGGCCCUCGCCGAGUCCGAGGCCCUCAUCGCCGAGUCCGAGGCCCUCAUUGCCGACCCCGAAUUUGGUCCCGCUCCUCGACAACCUGGGCGAGCUCCGACCGCUGCUGUAGCGCCUCCGUGCGCGCGGCCGCCGCCUCGGCCUUCAGGUCAACGCAGAGCAACUGGAGGUCCGCCAUCCUGGCGUCCUACUGAGACAGGCGCGCGGUAGCCCCGGCGAGUGAAGCCCUCAGAGAUCGCAGCGAGCCCCAGACGUCGGCCUCGCGGCGGAUGAACGACGACUUGGCGGCGCUCCGGUCCGUCAGAUCCUGGAAAGGAAAGCAAGACACCAUGACGAACGUCUCGCUCGCAGAAGGGAGAAGGUAUGCUUGAAACCAUUACCUGGAGGAUUUUGGGGACGUCCCCGCAGAGAACCUCCAGCGAUGAUCGGAGCAACCCCAUCGACGCUUCCGCACACUUGCGGAGCUCGUCCCAAGACCGGUCCUCUUCUUCGUCGUCAAGAACGAAGAUAGGGCCCGAAGCCUCGCGGGUCCGGAAUCGGAGCAACUGGGCCCGGGCCUCAGGGCUCCGCUGCACGGCGACAAGGCUGCCGCCCUCCCGGGAGCACCGCGCGUCCGCGCCCACCUCUUCCGAGGCCCCGGGCGCCAACGCUGCGGCCGUCUCGACGCUGGCGGCGUCCGGGCGCUCUCCGACUGGGACGGUACCAACUGCGGCAGCGGCAGACGCCGGCAUGGCCGACAUGGCAGGCGAGCUCGGGACCGCAUCGGCGCCGGCCGCCUCCCCGAUCACGAUGGCCACCUCGGCAGAGGAGCCCGCCUCGGGGACCUGCUCCCCCGGAACAUGCGACGCAUGAGCCCCGCGCGGCGGAGCGACCUGCGAAAGGGUCGGCCGAGCGGCAGGGCCCGAGGUGGCGCCAGCCGCCUGGACCAACGUCGUCUUGAGGGCCUUCCGAGGCGCCAGGUCGGUAGGGCCAUGGCUCCGUUUGCUGGAGAAAACAAGAAAGGGAAAAUCACGACCCAGACAUAUGAAUGAAGCGCCGGACGGAGACGUUCUAAGAUACUUACCCGCUCCGGACCAUGAUCCACGGUGUCUGGGGGGAGGUCUCUUGGCUCCCGCUUCCUGGAACCACUGCCGAGGUCCGCCUCACCAACAGCCCCGGCGCCGCCCUUGCCUCGAACGCCCCUGAGGCCUGGGAGGCGGACUGCCCAGGCGCCGCCAUGGCAGCCUGAGGACCGCUCCCCCAUGCUGCCGGCGCGGGCGAUGGUUCCCGAGGAACGAAACCCUCGGCCCGGCUCCCUGGAGUCGCGUCAGCUCCUCCAGCCGAGGGGUUAAGAACCCUCUCGGGUUGUCCCCGCCCCUCAGGACGGAGAUCCGGCGCCUCGGCUCCAGGGACCGACGACGUAGGCCCGCUCGGGGGCUGACUCGACGGCUCCCGGCCGCACCCCAAGCCGGGGCUGAGACCGAGACGGACGGCCAUGUCGUCCUCCUCCUCCUCGUCGUCGUCGUCGUCAUCAUCGUCGGACGUCUCCGGCGACAGCUCCCUGGGAAGUCCUUCCCUCUCCUGCUGGCGACGGCGUUUCUCCAGGGCGUCCCGAGCCCGCCUCCGCCUGCGGGCCCGGGCCUUCUCCGCAUCCUUCUUCUUCUUCUCCUCCUCCGCGGCGACUCGUCGCGCCGCCCGACCCACCGCGUCCUCCGGGACCCGCGGCAGGGAGGGUUUGUGCCAUCCCACCUCCUAAAAAGGGGGGAGAAAGAAACCCGAUUGUGAGAAUCAGAAGCAACCCGGUAUGCGAAGAAGGACGGAACGAACACUCACCAGAGCGACGCACCCCUGGUCGGGGCGCAUUCGAGGCUGAGAGAAGGCGUGGGGGUCCUGCUUCCCCAUCGCGGCCGACACCCGCCGGUGGAGGGCGUCGUGGGGAAGAGGAUCAGGGGACAUCCGUGACCCCUCCCAGUCGGCCUCCUGGGUCAUCUCCCAAAGCGACAGUCGCCGCUCCGCCAGGGGAAGCACCCUCCGGCGGUGGAUGGCGGCAACCACUCCCGCGACGGUGAGCCCCUCCUCCCGCAACGCCUUCAGGGCCUGGAGAAGGGGUUCGAGGUUCUUUUGCCUCUCGUGUGGAGUCCCGUGGCGCCAGGCGUUGGGAGCGGCGGUGACAAUCCGCUGAGAGAACGGCGGGAGCGACCCUCCGUCAUUCCGGAGGUAGAACCACCGGCGCUGCCAACCCUUGUUCGAGGAUGAGAGGACGGCAGGGAUAUACUGCAACGCCCGCGACUGCCUCAACAAGAGGGUGCAGCCGCCGGCCCGCACCGCCGCAGGGACCUUCCUCUCCCCCGUCGACGAAGCAAAAAGCUCGGCAAAAAAGAGGUGAGUCCAUAAAUCCCAAUGGGGGGCGAUCCCCAGAUACCCCUCGCACACCGCUACAAAGAUAGCGGCUUGCACGACGGAGUUGGGGGUGAGGUUGUGCAGUUCCACCCCGUAGUGGAACAGGAGGGCCCGCAUGAAGCGGCUCGAUGGCACACCAAAUCCCCGCUCAUGGAAGGAGAUGAAGCUCACUACAUACCCCGGUGGAGGGGACGGAGCGGCUCCGCCCGUGGGGGGAAUCCAUUCCGGCCGCUCCUUGUCGGUAAGGGGGCGGAGCAAACCCUCGUCGACGAGGUCCUCCAGAUCACCCGCCGUCACCGUGGAGAAAGGCCACGGGUCGCGCGGCGAGAUGAUGGUCACCCGGUCGGCCAUCGCCAAGGCAGAGAGGUUGGCGGUGUGAAGGACAGGGAAGGGCGGUCUCCUUUCCUGGCUAGAUCUCUCAGGCUGCAAAAAACCUGAGAGGGAGGCGAGAAGUGGAGUCGAAGAACCGUCACCGGACCCCCUCCGGGGCACAUAAAGGCCAAGGUCAAGACGGUUCCAACGCACCGCCCGGACCGGACGCGGGGUUCGAAAAACGCGAAGCGAAACAGCCGUUCCUCGAACGGCUCGCGCACGCAACGGCAGCCUCGCCGACCGCUUACCCCGGCGCAUUAACUCCACGGCUAGACAGGUGACGUGUCUGGCAGGGGGAGCUGGCGACGUUUCGCCUUCGCCAAAACGAACACGCCGAAAAAGGUACACCACGAUGUUCAAUUUCGAACCCUUUUUUCCCUUUUUCCUUCUUUCUCUAUCUCUUGCAACAGGGACCGGGAAAGAGGGUACCCUCAAAGGGAUCCUUCCCCGUGAACGAACUAGGCUCCGAGCCUCCCUACUGAUCAGGGGUUCGAAGGCUGGCCCCCCGAGGGGUUCAACAGCCGCCUCAGAUCGCGUGGGCCCGACACCCACUACUGGUCAGGGGUUCGAAGGUCGGCUUCUCGAAAGGUUCCACGACCGCCUCAGGCUACUAGGGCUCCGCGCCCAUUACUGAUCAGGGGUUCGAAGGCUGGCCUGUCGAAGGGUUCACAGUCGCCUCAGACGCCGAGCGAGGGAUGACCAGGGGUACGUUCGAUACAUAACCAAGGCUCGGGCUGCGCUCCCGAGGUACCCUAGGACAUUUCCGAGACCAGCGGGAACGACUCUGUAACGGAAUCCCAUCGGAGGGAGGCAACGAGCCCUCGGACCCCGUCGCUAGGGGACCGGGUCCGGCAGAUCACCCGCAGGUACUUUUGGGCGUGCCUCUGGGCCCCUAGCCGACCCCCAACGAACGGGGCACGGACGUCCACUCGGAUUACCCGAUUGCAGCUCACCGGAGACACCAUGUUCGGUGCCCAUCGAGGGAAACAUGGCGCACUCCCCCCCUCCUCCUUGCGGAAAGGCGACGUAGGGGCGUAUAUAAAAAAGCCGAGUCUGUCCCUGAUCGUCCUCUCGCUCCGUGCGGAGGCUCGGGGGCUGCUCUCGCAAACCCGGCUCCGGCCGAACCGUUGACAGCGUCAACAUACCAGCCCGAGAACUUGGGCCCCGACAGUGCACCUGGGCUACGCCCUGCUCGCAUGGGGGAACCGACCGGACCAGCCGAAGCAUUGCGCAAGGCAUUAAGACCUCGAAGGAGUGAAACCACUCCUCCGAGGCCUCGGGGGCUACACCCGGCGGGUGCGCUCGCGCGCACCCACCGGAAUAAAGUGCCACCGAGAAAGGCUGGUCCCCUUGCAAAAAAGUGCGACGCAAGCCUCCAAGCGAGUGUUAACACUCUCUUCGAGGCUCGGGGGCUACUGUCAGGGACCAUAAUUAGGGGUACCCUCAAGACGCCUAAUUCUCAGCUGGUAACCCCCAUCAGCAUAAAGCUGCAAAGGCCUGAUGGGUUUGAUUAAGUCAGGGAUCAGUCCAUACGAGCGACUUGAUCACGCCACGCCCGAGCCUAGCCUCGGGCGAGGGCAGCCGACCCUAAGAUGACUCCGUCUCGCCCGAGGUCUCCUCUUUCACGGCAGACGCAUCACCGGCUCGCCCGAGGCCCCGCCUUCGAUAUGAAGUAACCCUGACUAAAUCACCGCGCCAACCGCCCAAAUCCCUGGGGCCUUCAACGCAAAAGGUAAGACUGACGGGUAGCCAGGCUUGGCCAAAAGCGCCAGAGGAAACUCCGCCUCGCCCGACCCAGGGCUCGGACUCGGGCUAAGGCCCCGGAAGACGGCGAACUCCGCUCCGCCCGACCCAGGGCUCGGACUCGGGCUAAGGCCCCGGAAGACGGCGAACUCCGCUCCGCCCGACCCAGGGCUCGGACUCGGGCUAAGGCCCCGGAAGACGGCGAACUCCGCUCCGCCCGACCCAGGGCUCGGACUCGGGCUAAGGCCCCGGAAGACGGCGAACUCCGCUCCGCCCGACCCAGGGCCCAGACUCGGGCUAAGGCCCCGGAAGACGACGACCUCCGCCUCGCCCGACCAGGGGCUCGGACUCCGCCUCGGCCUCUGCCGACCGAUCUCCGCCUCGCCCGACCCAGGGCUCGGACUCUGCCUCUGUCUUGCAGGACGGACUCGACCUCAGGCUUCGGAGGAGCCUCCACGACGCCCGACCUAGGACACGAGGCCACCACGUCAACAGGAAGCGUCAUCAUCACCCUGCCCUGAGCCGACUUGGGUCGCAGGGGACAAGACCGGCGUCCCAUCUGGCCAGCUCCGCCAGAUAGGCAAUGAUGGUGUCUCACUAGGCCAUGACGACGGCAGCUCCCAGCUCCCUUACGAAAGCAGGGAGACGUCAGCAAGAGCACAGCUGUUCCAACAGCUGUCCCUCCGUCAAGCUCCAUGGCUUCUCCAACAGCCAUGACGCCACAUCAACAGGGUGCCAAGAUCUCUCCGGCUGCCACCUUGGCAUGUACUUAGGGCCCUAGCUCUCCCUUGCUAGACACGUAGCGCCUUGCUACACCCCCAUUUUGUACACCUGGCUCCUCUCCUUACGCUUAUAAAAGGGAGGACCAGGGCCUUCUUAGAGAAGGUUGGCCUCGCGGGAACGAGGGCAGGGGCAGGCGCUCUCUUGAGGCCGCUCGCUCCCCUCACCCGUGCGGACGCUUGUAACCCCCUACUGCAAGCGCACCCGACCUGGGCGCGGGACGAACACGAAGGCCGUGGGAACCUCCGACUCUCACACUCUCCCUCUCUCGACCCGGCUCCGGCCACCGACCUCGCUCUCUCUCACUCCCCCCUUCGCGCUCGCCCACGCGCUCGACCCGUCUGGGCUGGGGCACGCGGCACACUCACUCGUCGGCUCGGGGACCCCCCGGUCUCGAAACGCCGACAGGUCCUAUUAGUAACACCCGCUGAUCCCUGGUCGGCAUCGUUUAUGGUUGAGACUAGGACGGUAUCUGAUCGUCUUCGAGCCCCCAACUUUCGUUCUUGAUUAAUGAAAACAUCCA
RNAcentral lists this long non-coding RNA (10519 nucleotides) under Zea mays. RNAcentral's name for it is "long non-coding RNA (ZMAY_LNC005749)". The record is from RNAcentral. Lineage: Eukaryota; Viridiplantae; Streptophyta; Magnoliopsida; Poales; Poaceae.